GCCGCGGUAACUCCAGCUCCAAUAGCGUAUAUUAAAGUUGUUGCGGUUAAAAAGCUCGUAGUUGGAUUUCAGUUUUCGGCCGGGCUCCUUCCCGUUCAAAUACGGGCGGUGAAGGGGCCUUUGGAUCGUCGGUGUCAAAGCCGCGGUCUUUUAACGGUCGGACUAUACCACCGGAGCGGGAUUGGUGGUGGCUGUGCCUUUCUCUUUUCGGAGGGGGGGGGGCUGUCCACGGUCGCCCGCAUUUUACUGACUGGGGUGCCUUUAACCGGGUGUCCCAGCCAGCCGGUUACGUUUACUUUGAACAAAUUAGAGUGCUCAAAGCAGGUGCAUUUUCGCCUGAAUAUCACAGCAUGGAAUGAUGGAAUAGGACCUCGGUCUUAUUUUGUUGGUUUUUCUAGACCCGAGGUAAUGGUUAAUAGA
RNAcentral lists this ribosomal RNA (420 nucleotides) under Polyphemus pediculus. RNAcentral describes it as "bacterial SSU rRNA". It matches the Rfam family "Eukaryotic small subunit ribosomal RNA", at positions 573 to 876 of the family's 1831-position model. The record is from RNAcentral. Lineage: Eukaryota; Metazoa; Arthropoda; Branchiopoda; Diplostraca; Polyphemidae.